Molecule: ribosomal RNA, 214 nt
Filed under: uncultured eukaryote
Lineage: Eukaryota
Description: partial 18S ribosomal RNA
Source: RNAcentral
UCGUGGAAUAAUCUGUCUGCUUAAUUGCGUCAAAAUUUUCAGGCACACUCUCUGUUACUAGGAGCUGUUGUUGCUUCAUUUGUGUUUCGGCACAUUUGAUGGUGGCGGCGGCGACUAUGAGAUGCUGUGUCUUUCGAAACGGACGUGACGCUCACCCCUUCUUGCUUGCAUGGUAGCAUAGUUUAACUUCGGUUAGAUUAUGUUACAGAUCCUG